Molecule: long non-coding RNA, 380 nt
Filed under: Cercocebus atys (sooty mangabey)
Lineage: Eukaryota; Metazoa; Chordata; Mammalia; Primates; Cercopithecidae
Description: lncRNA (ENSCATG00000045700.1)
Source: RNAcentral
GUUUUUAUGUUCUUUACACAUUAGCCAAGUACUGGCCACUGGAGUGGAAAAAACCUCAGACGUUUUAGGGGAAAAAGUCAUUUUUAUCUUUGGAGAGACAUGUUUUCCCAUCCAUUCACGUUCAUCUAAAAAAGACAAGAAUCUUACCAAAUCAAGAACUGUCCCAGGAAUCAACCCCAUUGAUUUCACUUUGGCAUUUUAUUGUACUUUUCAAGAGUAGAGAAAAAUACAUGUAACCAGAAUGUAUACAGAAAGUAUUCAAAAUGUAGACAUAUCAAGUCAGGAUGGGAGAACUGAAACCAGGAAACUGAGCAAUCAGAAUAAGACAUUGGAAGCAUCAGAGCAGGAGGUAAGUGGUGAUCUGAAGAAAAAGAAAAGGG